GGAUGUGAAGGUUGUCAGCUGUGACACCCGACACCCAUUGAUCCCCGGGGUUAAUUCCACUGACCUGGCCAGGCAGGGGUCCCCUUCCUCCUUCAGCUCUCUGUUUGUCUCCCCUGGAGCUGUGAGCUUGGUCAAAGAGAAGGACUAUCAUGGAUAGAAGUACAAGUAGCUACACUCCCCUGCUAGAACCUCCAAACUAGCUCUCAAAGAUGCAGGUCUGGUGACACUCCUCACACGCCAUGCCUGCAUUGCAACUUGGGCCUGAUCCCUGGCCCCUGGU
Molecule: small nuclear RNA, 280 nt
Filed under: Dipodomys ordii (Ord's kangaroo rat)
Lineage: Eukaryota; Metazoa; Chordata; Mammalia; Rodentia; Heteromyidae
Description: 7SK RNA
Rfam family: 7SK RNA
About the family: 7SK was discovered as an abundant small nuclear RNA in the mid-70s but a possible function has only recently been suggested.
Source: Rfam by way of RNAcentral